RNAcentral lists this transfer RNA (85 nucleotides) under Felis catus (domestic cat). It matches the Rfam family "tRNA". From Rfam's summary of the family: Transfer RNA (tRNA) molecules are approximately 80 nucleotides in length. Their secondary structure includes four short double-helical elements and three loops (D, anti-codon, and T loops). Further hydrogen bonds mediate the characteristic L-shaped molecular structure. tRNAs have two regions of fundamental functional importance: the anti-codon, which is responsible for specific mRNA codon recognition, and the 3' end, to which the tRNAs corresponding amino acid is attached (by aminoacyl-tRNA synthetases). tRNAs cope with the degeneracy of the genetic code in two manners: having more than one tRNA (with a specific anti-codon) for a particular amino acid; and 'wobble' base-pairing, i.e. permitting non-standard base-pairing at the 3rd anti-codon position. The record is from Rfam by way of RNAcentral. Lineage: Eukaryota; Metazoa; Chordata; Mammalia; Carnivora; Felidae.
GCCUGAGUGGCUCAGUCGGUUGGGCGUCUGACUUCAGCUCAGGUCACCAUCUCGCGGUCCGUGAGUUCGAGCCCCGCGUCGGGCU